UGCAACGCGAAGAACCUACCUGGUCUUGACAUCCCGGAGACCCUUAGGAAACUAGGGGUGCUUCCAUCUGGAAGAAUCUGGAGACAGGUGCUGCAUGGCUGUCGUCAGCUCGUGUCGUGAGAUGUUGGGUUAAGUCCCGCAACGAGCGCAACCCUUGCCUUUAGUUGCCAGCAGUUCGGCUGGGCACUCUAAGGGACUGCCGGUGUUAAACCGGAGGAAGGUGGGGAUGACGUCGAGUCCUCAUGGCCUUUAUGACCAGGGCUACACACGUACUACAAUGGCCGAUACAAAGGGCAGCGACACUGCGAGGUGAAGCCAAUCCCGUAAAAUCGGUCUCAGUCCGGAUUGGAGUCUGCAACUCGACUCCAUGAAGUUGGAAUCGCUAGUAAUCGUGGAUCAGCAUGCCACGGUGAAUACGUUCCCGGGCCUU
This 430-nucleotide ribosomal RNA is filed under the name uncultured Desulfobulbus sp. RNAcentral describes it as "bacterial SSU rRNA". It matches the Rfam family "Bacterial small subunit ribosomal RNA", at positions 955 to 1382 of the family's 1533-position model. Lineage: Bacteria; Pseudomonadati; Thermodesulfobacteriota; Desulfobulbia; Desulfobulbales; Desulfobulbaceae. The record is from RNAcentral.